CGGGCGAGCCGCGCUGACGGGGCAGCCGCUCUUAAAGGGGUCCCCACCCCACCCACCGGCGGCAGGAGGCUGCUGGCCCUGGGCCAGGUGGGACCCUGCCAGCGCCGAUGGAUGCCCGAGGUGCUUCCAUGCCCCCCCUGCUCCUGGCUAACCAGCACCAGUUCUUCAGUGGCAAGCUUUAUGUCCUUCUCCAGUAGCUAAAGCUGCCAGUUGAAGAACUGUUGAAUGUAGCCACUCUCUUCUUGUCACCGGGACCUUGGAUGCCAGCCAGACCCGCGCCCCGAGCGACCGGGAUGAGCCAGACUGCAGCGUCCUGUGGAUUGGAGGGCUGAGGAUGAGUCCAGCUGGGAUGAAGAAGUCUCCCCACAGCCUCCAGACAGAGCCUUGGCUGAGGGAUUGCCAGGCAGCCCUGUCAGCGGGGUCCCCCUGCAUUGGGGUGGCACUGAGCUGAGAGGAGACUGAAAGAGGCAUUAAACUUUCUGUUUUGCUCAA
Molecule: long non-coding RNA, 492 nt
Organism: Myiozetetes cayanensis
Lineage: Eukaryota; Metazoa; Chordata; Aves; Passeriformes; Tyrannidae
Exons: 3
Source: RefSeq, a predicted model, not a curated record